This is a non-coding RNA of Carica papaya (papaya), 3847 nucleotides long. NCBI's taxonomy places the organism in Eukaryota, Viridiplantae, Streptophyta, Magnoliopsida, Brassicales, Caricaceae. The record is from RefSeq and is a predicted model, not a curated record.
CCUCAUUGAAUCAGUAACUUACACAACUUCUGGAUUUGGUCAUUUUGGAUCCGAUGUGCGAACUGAAUGCUUGGCUUGACCCUGGUAGUUCUCCUGUCAUCUUAUUACUUGUUACUUAUGUCGGCUUUGUUUGUGGCUUGUGCUGCAUAGUAUAGAUAGAUUGUUGUUGAAAGGAAGGAUGCUUACUGCGUCGGAACAAACUAAACUUUUCAAUCUGAUACCGUAUUCGACAUAAACAUGGGGUUUUUAAAUUACAAUCAAUGUCUCGUAGUGGGAGUUAGUUUGGUUGCAACUUAUCAUCGUCUAUUUCUUGUUUUUGCUUGGUGUAGUCCAUUUCGUAGUAAGUGUAGCUGGCAUGUAGAUGUUGAAUUCAGAGGCUAGUUUCACUUUGUGGUGUAUUGGAUUUAUUUGGAUGAUGGUUUUCUAUAGCUUUUUGUCUUUCUGCAUCUUGGUCUCUCUCUUUAUAUACCUGUACAUUCAUCUCUUUUUGUAAUGAUUCAUUGGAAAUCCUAUAAAUAGUUUUGUUAUGUUUUUUUUUUCCCCAACUACAUAGAGGUUAUUGUUUACGUACUACCAUGCAUAAUCUUGAGGUUUAAUACACAUCUUUCUUGGUGGUUCUGCUCUUUGUUCUUGAUUUUCUUGGAAGGGAUCAAAUGUCUAAUUCGGGAAGGAAAAAGGAGAAACUUUGGAAGGUUCAUUGGAGUUUGUAUGCAGGGUUUUUCUUAAACAUAUACAGUUAACAAUUUGGCUUAAAAUAACACAUGAAUGAUACAGUACUAUUAAAGUUCUAGAGGUCGUUCAAGAUAGGGUAGUUUGGUAUGGCGGCCGGUUGAGAACUUCUAGGUGCAGGACUAUAACAGGUUGCUGAAAUAUAUUGUCACCCUUUAUUUUCCUUGCUAGUUUUUUUGUGACUUGUAUGACAGUCUAAGUUUUGGGGAAAAAAAUGCUUAUAUUGGAGCUAAUGAAUAGAGUCAAAAGUAGAAGUCUUCUUUGGUAGAAUUAUCUCUCCUUGAUUGAAUCAACGUUGGUAGUUUUUCUAUCUUCAGUUAAACGCUUUACUUUUUUUGCAAUUUCUCUGCAACUCCUGCUGGAGCAAGAUGAAAUGGGGAUAAAUGGUGCUUAUGUCGGAGCGGACAAAACCUAUUAAAGUACAAGAGUUGAAAUUGGAAAGGUGUUCUAAAUUUUGGCGAAUAGCUAAUAUUAGGACCUUUUCUUUCCUGUAUGCAUCCUUUUUGAAUUUGUCAAUUCUUUCAUGUCUAAAAUUUAUAUUGCAGUAUUACCCCAAACGAUGUGUUCUUCCUUGAAUAAUUAGAUGGUGCCAAAUGAUUGAGGGCGGUGGAAGGAUCGUAGAAAUUAAAUAUUCCCUGUGCAUGCGGUGGCUGGUAUGUUACCAAUGGUUGAUAAUAUUUUAAAAAUCAACUAAUUUAAAAUUUUAAUUGUCUACCUCUUAAUUAGUGUGCGGUUGGUGUGUGGAUUCAGAUUUUAGAAGAUUAGUUUUAAGUGUAUAGCGUUUAGGCUCAGUGUGGAUGGUGGUCUUUAAUAUCAAUCGAUUUUUAUCAGUCCUUGUUAAUCAUCUCUCUCUCUCUCAGAGAACUUUGAGAAAUUGUGUUUCUUGAUAUCCUUAAGUAAAUCUGUUUGCCGUUAAUUUUUUUUUAAGACAUUGAUUAUAUUAUAUGUAGGUGAGGUUUAAGGUAUAUUAUGCUGUUGGUGCUCUUCCCUUCAGGUGUUUGCUUAAGGUUAUCUAAUGAGAUGUUGGAAAGAAAAAGAUAAAGUACAAGUAAUGUGUGUUAUGGCACGGCAAAUCCGUUGGAUAUUUGCAGGCCUUGAAAUUAACGACUGAUCUUUUUUGCAUGAUGGAGAAUUUACUCAUCUUCCUCGAUUUGGUCAACCCUUUCUUCUGCUUUUAAAUGGACUCUUGUUGUUCUCAUAGUAUAUUUUAUCCUUGUCCACUUUGCAUUUUAUUUUGAUUUCUGCUGCAGCCACAGAUCAUGGGGGAAGAAUAAUAAGAUGCUUAUAUUGCUGCAAACUGAACUUGUCAUUGAAUUGCUGGAGUUCAAAUGAGGAAGACUUCCAAACAUUUACUCAAAUAUCUCGUGUUUGGAGUUUUUGGUCGUUCACAAAUUUAUUGAAUUUUUCAUGAAUAUACAGAAGUUGGAAUUAGAAGAAUUUCUGAACUCUCUCCCUCAUUGGAUCAGUAACUUACGUAGCUUCUGGAUUUGAUCAUUUUGGAUCUGAAGUGCGUUUCAUAUGCUUGGUUUGACCCCGAUAGAUCGUUGUUGAAAGGAAAGAUGCUUACUGCAUUGGAACAAAUUAAACUUUUUGAUCAGAUAACGUGGUUGACAUAAACAGGGAGUUUUAAAUUACAAUCAAUGUCCUGUAUUGGUUGUAAUUUGUCGUUGUUUAUCUCUUGUUUUUGUUUACUGUUGUCCAUUUUGUAAUAAGUGUAGCUGUGUGCAGAUGUUGAAUUCAGAUGCUGGUUUCAACUGUGUGGUGUUUCGGAUUUAUUCGGACGAUGGUUUUCUAUAGCUCUUGUUUUUCUACAUUUCAGUCUCUCAAUUUAUAUACCUGUGCAUUCAUCCUUUUUUGUAAUGAUUCUUUGAAAAUCCUUAAAGUAAUUUUGUUAUGUUUUUUUCUUUCUUAAUUAUAUACAGGUUAUUAUUUUUGUGCUACCAUGCAUAUUCUGGAGGUUUGAGACAUAUCUUACUUGGCAGUUAUGCUCUUUGUUCUUCUUGAUUUUGUGGGAAGGGGUCAAAUGUCUAAUUUGUGAAGGAAAAAUGAGAGACUUUUGGAAGGUUCAUUGGACUUUGUAUGUCGGACUUUUCUUAAUCAUAUACAGUUAACAAUUUGGUUUAAGAUAACACAUGAAUGAUGCAGUACUAUUAAAGUUUUAGAGGUAAUUCAAGAUAGCGUAGUUUGGUAUGGGAGGCCGGUUGAGAACUUCUGGAUGCAGGACUAUAGCAGGUUGCUGAAAUAUUGUUGACAUUUCGAGAAGUCUACACUGCUAGCUGGAGCAGGUCAAUCUGGAUGAUUUUUCUGUGAUCUUGUCACCCUUUAUUGUUCUUGCUAGUUCUUUUGUGAAUUGUAUGACAGUCUAAGAUUUGGGGAAAAAGAUGCGUAUAUUGGAGCAAAUUGAACUUCUAGAGAGGCAGAAGUUAAAAUAAGAAAGAAGCUUCCUAGUCCUGCAGCAGCAAGAUGAAAUGUGGAUAAAUGGUGCUUAUGUUGGAGCAGACAGAUCCUAUUGAAGUGCCGGAGUUGUAAUUGGAAGGAAGGUGUUCUAAGUUUUAGUGAAUAGCUCAUAUUGGGUCCUUUUUUUUUUUUUUUUUUCUGUAUGCAUCCCCUUUGAAUUCAUCAAUUAUUUGACGUCUAAAAUUUACAUUGCGGUAUUACUCCAAUUGAUGUGUUCUUCUUUGAAUAAUUAGAUGGUGUCAAAUUAUUGAGCGCGCUGGAAGGAUGGUAGAAAUUAAAGAUUCCAUGUGCAUGUGGUGGCUGGUAUGUUACUAAUGGUUGAAUAAUUCUUUGAAAAUCAAUUAAUUUAAAAUUUUAGUUGUCUACCUCUUGGGUAGUGUGUGGUUGGUGGGUGGAUUCGGAUUUCAGGAGACUGGUUUUAAGUGUAUAGCUGUGGAUGGUGGUCUUUAAUAUCAAUCGAUUUUAAUCGGUUCAUGAUAAUCAUCUCUCUCUUCCUCUCACUUUGAGAUAUUGUUCUUUUGAUAUCUCUAACUAGAUCUGUUUCCCUUAAUUUUUUUAAGACAUUGAUUAUAUUAUAUGUAGGUGAGGUUUAAGGUAUAUUAUGCUGUUGGUGCUCUUCCCUUCAGGUGUUUGCUUAAGGUUAUCUAAUGAGAUGUUGGAA